GUUCAAUCAAAUAGUCGUCCUCUUAACUCAUGGAGAACGGUGUUGUUCGAUUAAGCCGUGCCAAUAUCACGCGGUAAACCAAAAAUGGCAAAGAUAGUUAUUAUAACCUUAAAGGCACUCGAUCGGUAGCCUUAGAGGGGACAAGCAACACAAAACCCAAAAUCCAAGUACAACUGCGAUUUGCAGUUCUAUUUUUAGCAAGUAUUUAAGGGAGUAAAAGUACUAACAAGAACGUAAAACAUUUGUAAUUACUAUCUGAAACUUUUGUCCAUAAGUUAGCUGUGGAAUGAUUUAUCUUAUUUGUUAUUUAAAGAAAAGUGUAUAUGUUUAUUCGCUUGUUGUUGUUAAUCUAACGAAAACGAGGAAGUCUGUUUUUGGACUUAUUCUAUCAGAUAAGGUUAAAUCUAUGAAAUUUCAUCA
Molecule: non-coding RNA, 420 nt
Filed under: Arabidopsis thaliana (thale cress)
Lineage: Eukaryota; Viridiplantae; Streptophyta; Magnoliopsida; Brassicales; Brassicaceae
Source: RNAcentral